GACAGAGGAUGCAAGCGUUAUCCGGAAUGAUUGGGCGUAAAGCGUCUGUAGGUGGCUUUUCAAGUCCGCCGUCAAAUCCCAGGGCUCAACCCUGGACAGGCGGUGGAAACUACCAAGCUGGAGUACGGUAGGGGCAGAGGGAAUUUCCAGUGGAGCGGUGAAAUGCGUAGAGAUUGGAAAGAACACCGAUGGCGAAGGCACUUUACUGGGCUAUUACUAACACUCAGAGACGAAAGCUAGGGUAGCAAAUGGG
RNAcentral lists this ribosomal RNA (253 nucleotides) under uncultured bacterium. RNAcentral's name for it is "partial 16S ribosomal RNA". It matches the Rfam family "Bacterial small subunit ribosomal RNA", at positions 524 to 776 of the family's 1533-position model. The record is from RNAcentral.